This 465-nucleotide ribosomal RNA is filed under the name uncultured bacterium. RNAcentral's name for it is "partial 16S ribosomal RNA". It matches the Rfam family "Bacterial small subunit ribosomal RNA", at positions 338 to 795 of the family's 1533-position model. The record is from RNAcentral.
CCUACGGGGGGCAGCAGUGGGGAAUAUUGCGCAAUGGGCGAAAGCCUGACGCAGCGACGCCGCGUGAGGGAUGAAGGUCUUCGGAUCGUAAACCUCUGUCAGCAGGGAAGAACGGUCACUGUGCUAAUCAGCAGUGAAUUGACGGUACCUGCAAAGGAAGCACCGGCUAACUCCGUGCCAGCAGCCGCGGUAAUACGGAGGGUGCGAGCGUUAAUCGGAAUUACUGGGCGUAAAGCGCUCGUAGGCGGUAUGUGAAGUCAAGGGUGAAAUCCCCGCGCUCAACGUGGGAACUGCCUUUGAAACUGGCAAACUGGAGUGUGUGAGAGGAUAGUGGAAUUCCAGGUGUAGGAGUGAAAUGCGUAGAUAUCUGGAGGAACAUCAGUGGCGAAGGCGACUAUCUGGCACAUAACUGACGCUGAGGAGCGAAAGCGUGGGUAGCAAACAGGAUUAGAUACCCUGGUAGUC